AACGCACAUUGCGCUCCUCGGUGUUCCGAGGAGCAUGCCUGUUUGAGUGUCAGUAAAUUCUCAACCCCUCUCGAUUAGCUUCGAGGGGGAGCUUGGAUAGUGGGGGCUGCCAGAGACCCAGACUUUGUGUCUGGGACUUGGGCUCUCCUGAAAUACAUUGGCUUGCGAUCGACUUUUUCGACUUUGCGCGACAAGGCUUUCGGCGUGAUAAUGAUCGCCGUCUUCCGAAGCGCAUGAACGGAAGGGAAGGUCUCGUGCCUCCAACAAUAUGCGUCGACGGCAACGUCUUCCAUCUUUUAUUUUAUGUUUGACCUCAAAUCAGGUAGGACUACCCGCUGAACUUAA
This 345-nucleotide unclassified non-coding RNA is filed under the name uncultured Chroogomphus. RNAcentral describes it as "sequence contains ITS2". The stretch from base 1 to 52 matches the Rfam family "5.8S ribosomal RNA", at positions 103 to 154 of the family's 154-position model. Lineage: Eukaryota; Fungi; Basidiomycota; Agaricomycetes; Boletales; Gomphidiaceae. The record is from RNAcentral.